This 804-nucleotide ribosomal RNA is filed under the name uncultured bacterium. Its description in RNAcentral is "partial 16S ribosomal RNA". It matches the Rfam family "Bacterial small subunit ribosomal RNA", at positions 8 to 796 of the family's 1533-position model. The record is from RNAcentral.
AGAGUUUGAUCAUGGCUCAGAACGAACGUUGGCGGCGUGGUUGAGGCAUGCAAGUCGCACGAGAACGAGGUAGCAAUAUCUCUAGUAAAGUGGCGGAAGGGUGAGGAAUGGGUAGAUAACGUACCCAGGAGAUGGGAAUAACGACUCGAAAGGGUCGCUAAUACCCGAUAAGACCACAGCAAUGCGGUCAAAGGCCGGGGAUCUUCGGACCUGGCGCUCUUGGAUCGGUCUGCUUCCUACCAGCUAGUUGGUGAGGUAAUGGCUCACCAAGGCUUCGACGGGUACCCGGGCUGAGAGGCUGAUCGGGCACAUCGGCACUGAGACACUGGCCGGACACCUACGGGUGGCUGCAGUUCGGAAUAUUCGGCAAUGGACGAAAGUCUGACCGAGCGACGCCGCGUGCGGGAUGAAGGCCCUAUGGGUUGUAAACCGCUUUCGCGAUUAGGUAAAUCAUAAUUCUCUAACAAAGGGUUGUGUUGAAUAAGGAUCGUAAAGAAGCCCCCGCUAAUCACGUGCCAGCAGCGGCGGUAAUACGUGAGGGGCGAACGUUGUUCGGUGUCACUGGGCUUAAAGGGUGCGUAGGUGGUUGCGUAAGUAAGGUGUGAAAUCCCUCGGCUUACCCGGGGAAUUGCAUUUUAUACUGCGUGGCUUGAGGACUAAAGGGGAAAAGGGAACUCCAGGUGUAGCGGUGAAAUGCGCAGAUAUCUGGGGGAAGGCCGGCGGCGAAGGCGCUUUUCUGGUUAGUACCUGACACUGAGGCACGAAAGCGUGGGGAGCAAACAGGAUUAGAUACCCUAGUAGUCC